Molecule: non-coding RNA, 125 nt
Organism: Brevibacterium mcbrellneri ATCC 49030
Lineage: Bacteria; Bacillati; Actinomycetota; Actinomycetes; Micrococcales; Brevibacteriaceae
Source: Rfam
CACAAGUUCCGGGGACGGUGAAAGUCCGUACCGGCGGUUACAGUCCGCGACCUGAAACAUAUGUUUCGGCUGACUCGGUGAAAUUCCGAGACCGACAGUUACAGUCUGGAUGGGAGGAACUUGUG